UCCUUUGGAAUAAAUAACGCACGGUGGCGACUCUCCUGUCUUUCUUCACCGGUUGUUUUUUUUCGCAUUCUAUUUUUUAGGUUGCGACAAUAUGAAUUAAUUGAAAUAAAAUAGAGGUCAAAACAAAAGUCAACCAACAAGACUAGGUUAAAAAUAAAUCAAGAAUAAAUUGAAAAUGGGAAAUAAAAUUCCAAGAAAAGGUCAGGUUGACCAUGGGACAGUGGUCAACCUU
This 232-nucleotide long non-coding RNA is filed under the name Lathyrus oleraceus (garden pea). Its description in RNAcentral is "Pisum sativum (pea) long non-coding RNA (PSAT_LNC025178)". Lineage: Eukaryota; Viridiplantae; Streptophyta; Magnoliopsida; Fabales; Fabaceae. The record is from RNAcentral.